This 500-nucleotide ribosomal RNA is filed under the name Aeromonas hydrophila. RNAcentral's name for it is "bacterial SSU rRNA". It matches the Rfam family "Bacterial small subunit ribosomal RNA", at positions 30 to 515 of the family's 1533-position model. Lineage: Bacteria; Pseudomonadati; Pseudomonadota; Gammaproteobacteria; Aeromonadales; Aeromonadaceae. The record is from RNAcentral.
AUUGAACGCUGGCGGCAGGCCUAACACAUGCAAGUCGAGCGGCAGCGGGAAAGUAGCUUGCUACUUUUGCCGGCGAGCGGCGGACGGGUGAGUAAUGCCUGGGAAAUUGCCCAGUCGAGGGGGAUAACAGUUGGAAACGACUGCUAAUACCGCAUACACCCUACGGGGGAAAGCGAGGGACCUUCGGGCCUUGCGCGAUUGGAUAUGCCCAGGUGGGAUUAGCUAGUUGGUGGGGUAAUGGCUCACCAAGGCGACGAUCCCUAGCUGGUCUGAGAGGAUGAUCAGCCACACUGGAACUGAGACACGGUCCAGACUCCUACGGGAGGCAGCAGUGGGGAAUAUUGCACAAUGGGGGAAACCCUGAUGCAGCCAUGCCGCGUGUGUGAAGAAGGCCUUCGGGUUGUAAAGCACUUUCAGCGAGGAGGAAAGGUUGAUGCCUAAUACGUAUCAACUGUGACGUUACUCGCAGAAGAAGCACCGGCUAACUCCGUGCCAGCAGC